Long non-coding RNA from Sus scrofa (pig), 2378 nucleotides. RefSeq lists it as uncharacterized. The record is from RefSeq and is a predicted model, not a curated record. NCBI's taxonomy places the organism in Eukaryota, Metazoa, Chordata, Mammalia, Artiodactyla, Suidae.
AAGAGAAGGAAAAAAAUACGUAUAGUUGUACACUGGACAAAUCUCCUGCAGAGCAACAAGAUUUCCUAGUGGAAAAAUGAUUAAUAAUUCAAAAAUUCCCUUAAUCUUCAGAUUUGUACAUUUUAAUUAAAUUGGAAAUUGCUGACAUGUAAUUAUGUACUCAGAACAAUUAAGUGAUUCCGGUCCACAAAUUACCUGUUAAAGUAAACAAUGAGCCUGUCAUAACUGGCAUUCUCUGUUAGUAGCAGGAUGGAUAACACUGUCUGUGCUGUUUCAUUACUAAGAUAUUAAGAUUGAAUAUUUGUGGGAGGAGUGAAAAAAUGACCUAAUUUCUCCAUAUUAAAAGCGUGAAUUAUUUAAUAAUACUCAUUUUUAAACAUAAUUACAUCAUCUGCUGGGAUUCCAUGCCCUUCUUGAUGUAAAAUCAUUUAAAGUCAUCCACUCCUCAACUAAGGGAAAUAGGGCCUUUCCUUCAAAUUCUUUCAAAGUAACAAAUACGAGCUCGGAACGUAAGGUUGAAUACAUCUCUCUACUGCAUUCUCAUCUGUCUCCCUCCUCUGGAAAUUGUCCUCAAUACAAGCGAAAGGGGGACUUCUUCCUGGUUAUUAAAAUCCAAAUAAAAUAAAAAUAAGAAAUAAAAUGUCACUUAAAACAUUGAGAGUAAAGACACUGAGAAACCAGGCUUGUUUUUGUGGUUGUUUUUACUGCUUCCAAACUGCCAUGGAGGUCUGCCAAAAAGAACUGAAUUCUCCUUGUACCAUGGAACAGAGUCUUUUGGGAAAAAGAGAGUAGAUCUUUCAUAGAUCUCCCUAUACUGUACAUUCAUACACAUUACUUCUUCUUGCAGCUGACUCAGCAACAAAGGUUCUCCUGUUUUCUGCCUCACUUCGUAUCACACCAUUGUGCCCUGAAGCAGCUAUGGGUUCUUACAAGAUCAUCCAGCACACAAGUAUCAGUGAGACAGGAGCGUGCAAUUCAUGAAGCAGAGGGCCCAAGCCUCACCAGCUGGGGUCAUUACAAAUAUUUCUACUUUUUGGAUGGAGAAACUGAGGUCUUGAAUUCUUGAAAGACUAGCUGGAAGUCCCAAUAUGAAGUUCUAAUACAAGGUCACAUUCCUUUGGAUGGCUUCGUUCCUCUAAAUGCUCAGCUCUGAAUAAAUACAAAUGAAAGCAUUGAUGUCUUCGGGAAAAUUUUGAUGAGAAUAAAAGAAUCAAAACCAGUUCUCAGAUCAAUCUAAGAAUCCUGAGCUGCUUUGGAGUCUCCAAAACUUGGAAGAAUUUUCACGAUACAGGACCAACUACAGAACUUCUUGACACUACUGCUGGUUUCCCGUUUGAAAGACCCUGUAGCAACGUGUUACAUGUAGGUUCCAGCAGAGUUUUUGAGGCUUACUAUGUGGAGACCUUAAAGAAUUUUCUUCCAAAUUGACCUGCAGUCUAGUUGCAUUACUUCGUAGCAGUGAUUUUCUGGCUAUCGGAUAUUCUCAUCCUCUAUAGAUACCUCAAUAGAAAUGCAUAUCAGCAUGAUACCCAACUGGUGUAGGAGUAAAAACCCUAACGUCUGAGUCAGAUGACAUUAGUUCUCUAUUCCUGGCAAGUUAUGGUAGCAUUUCUGUGCUUCAGUUUUCUCACAUGCAAAGAAGUGUAAAUGAAAUCAGAUGCUAUCAUAUGUCUCUAACUUUCUAGUGUUCCUUGCCCGACAGCAGUUCUUUUGUGGAAACUUCUCUUCAGUUCCUACCUGAUGUGAGCUUUUCCUCCCACAAGGUCUCCCUGUAUAAAAAGCAGAGUUCUUAAAGAAGACUCAAUAAUAUCUUUCCACUUAAGUGUUUAUUUGGGUAGCUUAAGAAGUUUUAGAUACCUAGAAACCAAUUUCUAUAAGAUGGUAUUCCAAACAUUGGUCACAUUUUAAAAUGUCUACUUUACAUUAAAACAAAAGUGAUCUCCCUUGGCUUAGAGGGGUCUAAAUAGAAAUUUACAGUAAAACAAAUCAUCAUUCCAAUCAAACUACUUUUUUAUAAUCAUAAAUAAUCUAGAAUAAAAGUGUACUCCUGUAUAAUUACAAACACUGAGGCAAUUAAAAUAUUGUUUUUACAGGGAAUAUGUCUAUGUAUCAGUACCCUCAAGUUUAACUGUCCCAAACUGUUUUGUUUCUUCUGCUAUUGACAAAAAUAAUAAUAUAUGUUAAUAAUUAUUCAGAAUUUAUUGUUGUCAAUAUUCUAUAUAAGCAUAAUCAUAUGUCAUCCUUAACAAUUAUGACAAUCUUGUAAGUAGCAAAUAUUAUUAGACCUAAGAAGAAAACAGAAAAAAAAAAAAAAAAGCUUAGGUAACUUGGUCUGGACUGAAAAGAAAGUUUUUUGUUUUUGUAAAUCAAGCCCUCGG